CAAGUCGAACGGCAGCACGGGAGCAAUCCUGGUGGCGAGUGGCGAACGGGUGAGUAAUAUAUCGGAACGUGCCCAGUCGUGGGGGAUAACGUAGCGAAAGCUACGCUAAUACCGCAUACGAUCUAUGGAUGAAAGCGGGGGAUCGCAAGACCUCGCGCGAUUGGAGCGGCCGAUAUCAGAUUAGCUAGUUGGUGGGGUAAAGGCCCACCAAGGCGACGAUCUGUAGCUGGUCUGAGAGGACGACCAGCCACACUGGGACUGAGACACGGCCCAGACUCCUACGGGAGGCAGCAGUGGGGAAUUUUGGACAAUGGGCGCAAGCCUGAUCCAGCAAUGCCGCGUGCAGGACGAAGGCCUUCGGGUUGUAAACUGCUUUUGUACGGAACGAAACGGCCUUUUCUAAUACAGAGGGCUAAUGACGGUACCGUAAGAAUAAGCACCGGCUAACUACGUGCCAGCAGCCGCGGUAAUACGUAGGGUGCAAGCGUUAAUCGGAAUUACUGGGCGUAAAGCGUGCGCAGGCGGUGAUGUAA
RNAcentral lists this ribosomal RNA (533 nucleotides) under uncultured bacterium. RNAcentral describes it as "bacterial SSU rRNA". It matches the Rfam family "Bacterial small subunit ribosomal RNA", at positions 58 to 586 of the family's 1533-position model. The record is from RNAcentral.